AACGAACGCUGGCGGCAUGCCUAACACAUGCAAGUCGAACGAGACCUUCGGGUCCAGUGGCGCACGGGUGCGUAACGCGAGGGAACCUGCCCUUAGGUUCGGAAUACCUCCCCGAAAGGGGUGCUAAUACCGGAUAAGGUCUUCGGCCCAACGAUAUAUCGCCCUUGGAGGGGCCCGCGUUGGAUUAGCUAUUUGGGAGGGUAAAAGCCUACCAAGGCCACGAUCCAUAGCUGGGCUGAGUGGAUGAUCAGCAACACUGGGACUGGGACACGUCCCGGACGCCUACGGAAGGCAGCAGUGGGGAAUAUGGGACACUGGGCGAAAGCCUGAUCCCGCAGGGCCGCGUGAGUGAUGAAGGCCUUAGGGUUGUAAAGCUCUUUUACCCGGGAUGAUAAUGCCAUUACCGGUAGAAUAAGCUCCGGCUAACUCCGU
This 432-nucleotide ribosomal RNA is filed under the name uncultured bacterium. Its description in RNAcentral is "partial 16S ribosomal RNA". It matches the Rfam family "Bacterial small subunit ribosomal RNA", at positions 29 to 506 of the family's 1533-position model. The record is from RNAcentral.